This 145-nucleotide non-coding RNA is filed under the name Mycobacterium sp. Lineage: Bacteria; Bacillati; Actinomycetota; Actinomycetes; Mycobacteriales; Mycobacteriaceae. The record is from RNAcentral.
AGAGGGAACCCGGUGGGAAUCCGGGACUGUCCCGCAGCGGUAUGCAGGAACGACCGCCGUCAUCGGCACUGGUCGCAGCGAUGCGACUGGGAAGCGACGGCCAGUAGGUGCACCGAGGGGUGCGCGCCUGCGAGUCCGAAGACCU